AGAGUUUGAUCCUGGCUCAGAUUGAACGCUGACGGUAUGCUUAACACAUGCAAGUCGAACGGAAACGGAACUAGCUUGCUAGUAGACGUCGAGUGGCGGACGGGUGAGUAACGCGUAGGAAUCUGCCUGAUAGUGGGGGAUAGCCCGAAGAAAUUCGGAUUAAUACCGCAUAAUCUAUUCGUAGUAAAGUGAGGGACUUUCGAGCCUCACGCUAUCAGAUGAGCCUGCGUAAGAUUAGCUUGUUGGUAGGGUAAAAGCCUACCAAAGCAACGAUCUUUAGCUGGUCUGAGAGGAUGAUCAGCCACAUCGGGACUGAGACACGGCCCGAACUCCUACGGGAGGCAGCAGUGGGGAAUAUUGGACAAUGGGGGCAACCCUGAUCCAGCAAUACCGCGUGUGUGAAGAAGGCCUGAGGGUUGUAAAGCACUUUCAAUUGUGAAGAAAAGUUAACGGUUAAUAACCGUUGACCUUGACGUUAACUUUAGAAGAAGCACCGGCUAACUCCGUGCCAGCAGCCGCGGUAAUACGGAGGGUGCAAGCGUUAAUCGGAAUUACUGGGCGUAAAGCGUGCGUAGGCGGUUUAUUAAGUCAGAUGUGAAAGCCCCGGGCUUAACCUGGGAACUGCAUUUGAAACUGGUCAACUAGAGUAUGGUAGAGGAAAGUGGAAUUUCUGGUGUA
RNAcentral lists this ribosomal RNA (678 nucleotides) under uncultured bacterium. RNAcentral describes it as "bacterial SSU rRNA". It matches the Rfam family "Bacterial small subunit ribosomal RNA", at positions 8 to 677 of the family's 1533-position model. The record is from RNAcentral.